This 253-nucleotide ribosomal RNA is filed under the name uncultured bacterium. RNAcentral's name for it is "partial 16S ribosomal RNA". It matches the Rfam family "Bacterial small subunit ribosomal RNA", at positions 524 to 776 of the family's 1533-position model. The record is from RNAcentral.
GACGUAGGGCGCGAGCGUUGUCCGGAUUUAUUGGGCGUAAAGAGCUCGUAGGCGGCUUGUCGCGUCGACCGUGAAAACUUGGGGCUCAACCCCAAGCCUGCGGUCGAUACGGGCAGGCUCGAGUUCGGUAGGGGAGACUGGAAUUCCUGGUGUAGCGGUGAAAUGCGCAGAUAUCAGGAGGAACACCGAUGGCGAAGGCAGGUCUCUGGGCCGAUACUGACGCUGAGGAGCGAGAGCGUGGGGAGCGAACAGG